GUGCACGCUGGCGGUAGGCCUAACCCAUGCAAGUCGAACGGCAGCACAGUAAGAGCUUGCUCUUACGGGUGGCGAGUGGCGGACGGGUGAGGAAUACAUCAGAAUCUACUUUUUCGUGGGGGAUAACGUAGGGAAACUUACGCUAAUACCGCAUACGACCUACGGGUGAAAGCAGGGGAUCUUCGGACCUUGCGCGAUUGAAUGAGCCGAUGUCGGAUUAGCUAGUUGGCGGGGUAAAGGCCCACCAAGGCGACGAUCCGUAGCUGGUCUGAGAGGAUGAUCAGCCACACUGGAACUGAGACACGGUCCAGACUCCUACGGGAGGCAGCAGUGGGGAAUAUUGGACAAUGGGCGCAAGCCUGAUCCAGCCAUACCGCGUGGGUGAAGAAGGCCUUCGGGUUGUAAAGCCCUUUUGUUGGGAAAGAAAAGCAGCAGGUUAAUACCCCGCUGUUCUGACGGUACCCAAAGAAUAAGCACCGGCUAACUUCGUG
Molecule: ribosomal RNA, 491 nt
Filed under: uncultured bacterium
Lineage: Bacteria
Description: partial 16S ribosomal RNA
Rfam family: Bacterial small subunit ribosomal RNA
Source: RNAcentral